GGGCUCACGCUGCUGGGAGCCCAUGGACCUCAGCCACGGCGGGCCCGGGGACAGACCUCCAGGAGGCCUGCUGGGGGAACAGAUCCGGCCUCCGUCCCACCACUUCUCCCCCGAGCAGCGGGCCCUGCUCUACGAGGACGCACUCUACACUGUCUUGCACCGCCUGGGUCAGCCUGAGCCCAACCAUGUGACGGAGGCCUCUGAGCUGCUGCGAUACCUGCAGGAGGCCUUCCACGUGGAGCCCGAGGAGCACCAGCAGAUGCUGCAGCGAGUCAGGGAGCUUGAGAAGCCAAUAUUUUGUCUGAAGGCAACAGUGAAACAGGCCAAGGGCAUUCUGGGCAAAGAUGUCAGUGGGUUCAGCGACCCCUACUGCCUGCUGGGCAUUGAGCAGGGGGUAGGUGUGCCGGGGGGCAGCCCCGGGUCCCGGCAGCGGCAGAAGGCUGUGGUGAGGCACACCAUCCCCGAGGAGGAGACCCACCGCACGCAGGUCAUCACCCAGACACUCAACCCCGUCUGGGACGAGACCUUCAUCCUGGAGUUUGAGGACAUCACCAAUGCGAGCUUUCAUCUGGACAUGUGGGACCUGGACACUGUGGAGUCUGUCCGACAGAAGCUUGGGGAGCUCACGGAUCUGCAUGGGCUUCGCAGGAUCUUUAAAGAGGCCCGGAAGGACAAAGGCCAGGACGACUUUCUGGGGAACGUGGUUCUGAGGCUACAGGUUCUGACGCUCACGGGCUGGGCAUCCCCGGCUGCCAGGACCUGCACUGCCGAGAGGACCAGUGGUACCCCCUGGAACCCCGCACUGAGACCUACCCAGACCGCGGCCAGUGCCACCUCCAGUUCCAACUCAUCCACAAGAGGAGAGCCACCUCGGCCAGCCGCUCGCAGCCCAGCUACACGGUGCACCUCCACCUCCUGCAGCAGCUUGUGUCCCACGAGGUCACCCAGCACGAGGUACUGCCCUCCCGGGGCUGGGCGCAGCCGGGGCUGCCCUUCAGGUCCUGACACUCCUCUACCUGCUCCCCUCAGGCAGGAAGCACCUCCUGGGAUGGGUCGCUGAGUCCCCAGGCUGCCACCAUCCUCUUUCUGCAUGCCACACAGAAGGACCUGUCCGACUUCCACCAG
This 1125-nucleotide small RNA is filed under the name Pongo abelii (Sumatran orangutan). RNAcentral describes it as "processed transcript". Lineage: Eukaryota; Metazoa; Chordata; Mammalia; Primates; Hominidae. The record is from RNAcentral.